Molecule: transfer RNA, 71 nt
Filed under: Marmota monax (woodchuck)
Lineage: Eukaryota; Metazoa; Chordata; Mammalia; Rodentia; Sciuridae
Description: tRNA.Ala
Source: RNAcentral
GGGGUUGUGGCUCAGUGACAGAGUGCUCCCCUCGCAUGUGGGAGACCCUGGGUUCGAUCCUCAGCACCACA